This 200-nucleotide ribosomal RNA is filed under the name uncultured eukaryote. RNAcentral's name for it is "partial 18S ribosomal RNA". It matches the Rfam family "Eukaryotic small subunit ribosomal RNA", at positions 585 to 787 of the family's 1831-position model. The record is from RNAcentral.
CCAGCUCCAAUAGCGUAUAUUAAAGUUGUUGCGGUUAAAAAAGCUCGUAGUUGGAUUUCUGUCAAAAACGAUCGGUCCGCCAUUGGGUGUGUAUCUGGCUCGGUUUUGGCAUCUUUCAGGCCAACGUAGCUGCACUUGACUGUGUGUCACGAUGGCCGAUCUUUUUACUUUGAGGAAAUUAGAGUGUUUCAAGCAGGCAC